Long non-coding RNA from Panicum virgatum (switchgrass), 867 nucleotides. RefSeq lists it as uncharacterized. The transcript is spliced from 5 exons. NCBI's taxonomy places the organism in Eukaryota, Viridiplantae, Streptophyta, Magnoliopsida, Poales, Poaceae. The record is from RefSeq and is a predicted model, not a curated record.
UCUGCAUCUUAUCUGAUUCCUUCUUCUCUGGCGUGAGGCGGCCCUCCGCCUUGGCCCUGCUCCGACGAGCGGCGGCCCUCGUGAUGGCCGCCUGUUCUGCUGUCCGCGCGGCGCGGAGUUCCAGCUGCGGGGCUGCCGUCCGCCCGUGCCGCCGCGCCGCAGGCGAAGGCUCUGGCAGCAGCAUGGCGGCUCCGGCUGGGACGCGCUUCGCUUGUCCGCAAUGCUGCGGCAGCUGGACACUCGGCGCUCGCCCGCGGGUUUGAGCUCUGUGGCAGCAGCAUGCCUUAUCCGGCAAGACAGACAGGGGGUAUUGUCUUCUUUUCAGCACGAACGGCCACUUAGAGGCAUUUGGUGACAUGAUGAUUCUAGGAGCACGACCGGCAUGCCUACUUUCAGCUUCAGCUUGUGGUUUGGGAUACCAAGGAACUUCAAGCUAUUUAGAAAUUCUGUAGGAUACAUCUGGUCCAUACUGUUGUUGUUUGUAGAUUCUUUGCACACGGUGUCCGAGCUAUGGAUUUGUUUAAAGUCUCCUCCCAGCACAACAGUCAUCCCACCGAAUGGUUUUUCAUUGAUGUUCAGUGUACUAAAGGCAUGAAAGAGAAAAGGUUCGUAUGAUACUUGCCAGAAGUAUGCUCCAAUUGAGAUUUUUGUCUCUCACGAAUUGUUGUGGUUCCGGGUGCUUUGUUUAAUGAACAGUAAUGCUACAAAUCAAUAUGCUUGCAUAAGCAAUCAGUUAAAAAUAUAAUUCUUGAUUUUCGAAGUUGAAGAGGAACGAUGUAAAAUACCUGGUCUUUUAUCGGUUGAUGAUGGUUGUAUCUAUUUUCUGAGAAACGCUACGGAAUUAGAUUAGUAUAUUGGAAGAAAGCA